This is a long non-coding RNA of Astatotilapia calliptera (eastern happy), 1374 nucleotides long. NCBI's taxonomy places the organism in Eukaryota, Metazoa, Chordata, Actinopteri, Cichliformes, Cichlidae. The record is from Ensembl.
GAAAAUAUUAUCCUCGGUUAAUCUUUGCUCUACAAACAAAAAGAAAAAGAAAGCAGUGAGAAAUGUGUUAUGAUAUCUUCUUUUGUUCAGCUGAAAACAACAACAGGAAUAAUUUGUUAUGUGAGAGAUUUAAAAGCGGCGUCUCAUGAACUGGGAUUGUGGGUUCUACGUCUCUUUAACGGUUAAUAGAUUUUCAAAAUAGUCAAUCAAUUAACCCUUAUAGAAGCACAAUGUACAAAGUGUUGUAGGAGAAAAGGAGUAUAAAACAGGAAUCCUAUUGACAGGGAAAUGCAGGUAAAGCAGGAUAGAUACGCCUAGAUUAGCUGAGGAUUUUAGAGACUUCCACUGACUGACAUGCAGUGAUGGGCAGAUGGAGUGAGAACUGAGACAGAGAUUUAAAACAACAGCGUCAGCCAGUCAGCUGCAAACAGGGUUAGAGGGUUCAGGUUCAUGUUAUAGAAGUGAAGCUGACCCCUGCAGAAACCCCUGUGGGAGUUGACAAACAGAGCUAAUACACAUGGAAAUCCAGAGUGCAGGGAUUGGCUGGAUUAUGUAUGAUUUCUAAUGUCUGGCACCCCCCCCCCCCUUUUUUUUUUUUUUUUUGCAGCAUCACAACCAUGACUGUAUAUUUCCAAGUGACCGUCAUUUUCUUUCAUCCAUUCUGGAGUGCUAAUUUUUAUUUCACACAGCAUCCUCUCCACACCUCUCCCGCACAUGACUCCACUGUUCUCUGCCUGCCUUGCUUCUCAUCACUCCCUCCAUCUGCGCCUUUUUUCCUGCUUUCUGUUCUUCCUUCCAUCCAUCUGGCCAGCUCUUUUCCCUCUCUCACUCUCUCUCUCUGCUCUUUACCCAGAGAGUUCAAAGUCAACAAAGAAAUGACCACAAAUAAACCUGUCUCCAGACUGCUUAGAAACAGCACACAUCAAAGUAAAAAUAAAUGCACGAUUUCAUAGAAAACCGAUGAGAGGAAAGGUUUUGGUAUGAUGGCGUUAUAGAUAUAGUAGACGGAGGGUGCAGAAGUCAUAAUGAUAAUUGUUUUGGUUUAUAACGAGGUCUUCUUUGAGCGCUAAGUUUAGUUUAGGGAGGAGUGAUGUAGGGCUUUUAGGGAAGGGCCAAAAGGCACAUGCUGUGAAGAAACUGUGAAACAGGUUGUGUCACAAUAACCAUUUUAUCUCGAUUAUCUUCUUUUCACCCUCUUUAGAAAGCAAAACUGUAGCUGAACGUAAAACGUGAUUAAUUACACAGACUUAAUGGAAAGAGGCACAGGUCUAAUGAGAGACGCAGAAAGAGCUGUAGAUUAAGGAGACAGGUGUUUGUUUUUGCUUUUUUUUUUUUACCAGAAUAGAGAAGUGUAGCAGGCAAGGUGAAAAGGGG